Molecule: ribosomal RNA, 465 nt
Filed under: uncultured bacterium
Lineage: Bacteria
Description: partial 16S ribosomal RNA
Rfam family: Bacterial small subunit ribosomal RNA
Source: RNAcentral
GACGAACGCUGGCGGCGUGCUUAACACAUGCAAGUCGAACGGAAAGGCCCUGCUUGCAGGGUCCUCGAGUGGCGAACGGGUGAGUAACACGUGGGUGAUCUGCCCUGCACUUCGGGAUAAGCCUGGGAAACUGGGUCUAAUACCGGAUAGGAGCCAUUUUUAGUGUGAUGGUUGGAAAGUUUUUUCGGUGUAGGAUGAGCUCGCGGCCUAUCAGCUUGUUGGUGGGGUAAUGGCCUACCAAGGCGGCGACGGGUAGCCGGCCUGAGAGGGUGGACGGCCACAUUGGGACUGAGAGACGGCCCAGACUCCUACGGGAGGCAGCAGUGGGGAGUAGUGCACAAUGGGCGCAAGCCUGAUGCAGCGACGCCGCGUGGGGGAUGACGGCCUUCGGGUUGGAAACUCCUUUCGCUAGGGACGAAGCGUUUUGUGACGGUACCUAGAUAAGAAGCACCGGCUAACUACGUG